UUUUAUGGAGAGUUUGAUCCUGGCUCAGGAUGAACGCUGGCGGCGUGCCUAAUACAUGCAAGUCGAGCGAACAGACGAGGAGCUUGCUCCUCUGACGUUAGCGGCGGACGGGUGAGUAACACGUGGAUAACCUACCUAUAAGACUGGGAUAACUUCGGGAAACCGGAGCUAAUACCGGAUAAUAUAUUGAACCGCAUGGUUCAAUAGUGAAAGACGGUUUUGCUGUCACUUAUAGAUGGAUCCGCGCCGCAUUAGCUAGUUGGUAAGGUAACGGCUUACCAAGGCAACGAUGCGUAGCCGACCUGAGAGGGUGAUCGGCCACACUGGAACUGAGACACGGUCCAGACUCCUACGGGAGGCAGCAGUAGGGAAUCUUCCGCAAUGGGCGAAAGCCUGACGGAGCAACGCCGCGUGAGUGAUGAAGGUCUUCGGAUCGUAAAACUCUGUUAUUAGGGAAGAACAAAUGUGUAAGUAACUAUGCACGUCUUGACGGUACCUAAUCAGAAAGCCACGGCUAACUACGUGCCAGCAGCCGCGGUA
Molecule: ribosomal RNA, 540 nt
Filed under: Staphylococcus epidermidis
Lineage: Bacteria; Bacillati; Bacillota; Bacilli; Caryophanales; Staphylococcaceae
Description: bacterial SSU rRNA
Rfam family: Bacterial small subunit ribosomal RNA
Source: RNAcentral